RNAcentral lists this ribosomal RNA (468 nucleotides) under uncultured bacterium. RNAcentral describes it as "partial 16S ribosomal RNA". It matches the Rfam family "Bacterial small subunit ribosomal RNA", at positions 28 to 507 of the family's 1533-position model. The record is from RNAcentral.
GACGAACGCUGGCGGCGUGCUUAACACAUGCAAGUCGAACGGAAAGGCCCUGCUUGUGUGGGGUGCUCGAGUGGCGAACGGGUGAGUAACACGUGAGUAACCUGCCCUUGACUUUGGGAUAACGUCAGGAAACUGGGGCUAAUACCGGAUAGGAGCUCCUGCUGCAUGGUGGGGGUUGGAAAGGUUCGGCGGUUGGGGAUGGACUCGCGGCUUAUCAGCUUGUUGGUGGGGUAGUGGCUUACCAAGGCUUUGACGGGUAGCCGGCCUGAGAGGGUGACCGGCCACAUUGGGACUGAGAUACGGCCCAGCCUCCUACGGGAGGAAGCAGUGGGGAAUAUUGAACAAUGGGCGGAAGCCUGAUGCAGAAACGCCGCGUGCGGGAUGACGGCCUUCGGGUUGUAAACCGCUUUCGCCUGUGACGAAGCGUGAGUGACGGUAAUGGGUAAAGAAGCACCGGCUAACUACGUG